This 144-nucleotide ribosomal RNA is filed under the name Arthrobacter sp. RT-1. RNAcentral describes it as "partial 23S ribosomal RNA". It matches the Rfam family "Bacterial large subunit ribosomal RNA", at positions 1 to 137 of the family's 2925-position model. The record is from RNAcentral. Lineage: Bacteria; Bacillati; Actinomycetota; Actinomycetes; Micrococcales; Micrococcaceae.
UUUUGUGGUCAAGUUUUUAAGAGCACACGGUGGAUGCCUUGGCAUUAGGAGCCGAAGAAGGACGUAGGAAUCUGCGAUAAGCCUGGGGGAGUCGAUAACCGGACUGUGAUCCCAGGGUGUCCGAAUGGGGAAACCCCGCCAAGC